Non-coding RNA from Stegodyphus mimosarum, 73 nucleotides. The record is from Rfam. NCBI's taxonomy places the organism in Eukaryota, Metazoa, Arthropoda, Arachnida, Araneae, Eresidae.
ACCUUCGGAGCGUAAUGGUCAGCCCGCUCGACGCGUAACCGAGAGGUCCGUGGUUCGAUUCCCGGCGAAGGCG